Molecule: long non-coding RNA, 733 nt
Filed under: Phoenix dactylifera (date palm)
Lineage: Eukaryota; Viridiplantae; Streptophyta; Magnoliopsida; Arecales; Arecaceae
Description: long non-coding RNA (PDAC_LNC015883)
Source: RNAcentral
CUCGGCACUCAAGUCGAGCAUAGGGUAUAAGGUCAUGGCCCAGAGAAAUUAUUAGUUAGAUUAGGUCUACCAACUUAUGGUAGAUUGGUUUUAUCAGGAAGUGCCAUGCAAUCUAAAUGUCUAUGGGGGAUCUACAUAAGCCAACCUAUCAAGUAAAAAAAAGAGAAACGAAGUUCAAAUGCAUUCGGCCCUCUCCUUUUCUUCUCUUCCAUCAUCUGGAGAGAAACUCUAGGGUUUUGCAUGAGCCGUUAGUCUCCGGCUUCUAUGCAUCGCGGAUCUCCGGCUUCUAUGCAUCGCGGAUCUCCGGCUCCUGUGCGUCAGAGUCAUCCUCCUUAGCCCCAAGGAGGUAGAAAUGGAGUUUGAAAUCGGUCCUUCUACAUUUAUCCUCUCCUUUAGUCUUGAGUAGAAUCAGUCUCCUCUCCCUUCCUUCCUAGCGUCGAGCUUCUUGUGCAGCAAUGGCCUCUAGCUCCCAAUGCGCCGCCAUUCUUUGGCUCCCAUGUGGCGCACGAAGAACAUGGAGGGGGGCUCGGGAGGAGUCCGGUGAUGCAAGGAGAGGGUGGAGUGCUCAGGCUAUAGAUCGGUGCUCGAGCAGCUCUGCCAAAAAACCUAAAAGGGAGAGCCGUAGCGCAUAGCGAACCUAGAGGAUAGCUAAGGAGGAGGCUAGCGGUGGAAGGUAGACCGAAGAACGACGACACAUGAGAGCCGGCCUAAGAUUCCGGUAGAUCUGCUCGAG